RNAcentral lists this long non-coding RNA (4561 nucleotides) under Manihot esculenta (cassava). Its description in RNAcentral is "long non-coding RNA (MESC_LNC006196)". The record is from RNAcentral. Lineage: Eukaryota; Viridiplantae; Streptophyta; Magnoliopsida; Malpighiales; Euphorbiaceae.
AGUGAGGUUUGGAGGUAAACAUUCUAUUGAGCACUCUAUACCUCCUCCACAAUCAGUCACAGAGAUAGAUUGAAGGGAAGUGAGGCUUUGCAUCUGAUUGGGUAGAGACCUCAAAUUUUUGCACCGAUGAAUAUGAAAAUAGACAAGCUUGGGAUUGGGCAAUCCCAUCUCUGGGAACAACUCUAAUUGAUGACAGCCCCCUAUUUCUAAAUUUUGGAGACUCUGGAAGUUUUGCAUAUGAUUGGAUAGAGACCUCAAUCCUUGACAGUCGGCGAUCUUUAAAGAGACAAGAGAAGGGAUGGGCAAUUCCUUACCAGGAAACGAUUCUAAUUGAGGACAGUUCCAUAUUUGUAAAUCUGUAAGAUGAGAAAGCCCAUAAUAUAGCGAGUUUAAUAAUUGUGUCGUCCAGUUGCAAAUGUUAAGAGUCUUGAGGGAAUCAGGAAACUUUCCAUUUGAAGAAGAAUCGAGAGAUCCGCAUCCAAAGAUACACAAUUCCUCGAGAUGAGACGUCUCACUACUGUAAUUACUGUGACACACAAUUCCCUCCGGCAGAGACUCCAAAGAUUCACAGUUAUUCAUGCUAAGAUAUAUCAAGUUGUGCGGCAAACCCCCUACUGGGAAGGAGACUAAACUCCUACAUUGGCUUAUUUUCAAAUCUUCAAGAGAUUUGAGGUCUUUCAGUCCACUUGGUAACUCCUUCAGAUUUGGACACAAAUCUAUGUCCAAAACUUCAAGGUUGCAAGGCAAAAGCCCUUCCUCUCCAUCUACCAAUGACACAAGCUCAUGACAUCCUCCAAUUUCCAAACGCUUUAGGCUAGUAAGACAGGUGGCAUUAGUCACACUCUUGAGAAAUGCUACUUGACAUCUUCUAAUAUUGAGUGUUAUAAGUGAUGGGAGCACUUUUGGUAAUUCAACCAAGAGCGGGCAAUUAAUAAUGACAAGUUUUUCCAGGGAAGGAAGGAAGUUGGGCAAUUUUUCAACCAACUUGGAACAAUUUUGUAUAUGGAGUUCUUGCAGCUUAGGAAAUUUUGCCACAGAAUCUUCAUCCAGCCCAUUUGACCAAGCCCACUGCUCCCACUCACCCAUAUUAACAAUCUCUAGCGUUUCCAAACAAGAAAAACAUGAUUCAUCCCCAUAAAACUCCACACCAACUUCCUUCACUCCACUUAAGCCUUUUAUGCUCAACCUUUUUAAUGACUUUAAUCGUCCGAGUGGUGGCAGUGAAGUAAUUUGAUGACAGUUGCUCAGCUCCACCUGCACCGUGCCAGAGAAUGAAGGCUCACCUAGCCACAAUGGGAAUUUCCUCCCACCAAAUGAUGUAAUUGAUAGGCUUGAUAGACUUUGAUGUGGCCGUAUUGAGUUGAGAACUUGUUCUUCAUGACUUGGGUUUCUCGAAUCAUAAGAAAAUUCAUCAGUCCAUUUCAAGUAUAACUCGGUGAUACCAGGCUUAUCCUUCAGAAUGGCAAAAGCCGCAUCUCCAAUAUCUUCCACUUCGACAUUCUCCAAACUUGUAAUAUGAAGCUGCCCUCGAAGAUCACAAAGUUUCUUCAGCUCUGUGAUCCGUCCAUUGCUUUUCCCCACGAUAAAUUUGGUCAACACGCAGAGACUAGUCAAAUUACCAAUAUGUGGUGGCAUCUCUUUCAAUUUUGUUGUGCCAAUAAUAUCAAGAUGCAGCAAGUUGAGUAAAUUGCAAAUGCCUUUAGGUAACUCAAUAAGCUCAUAACAAUCGAACAACUUUAAUGUCUGCAAGUUGAAGAGUUUAUCCACUGAUUCAGGCAAUCUUUUGAUUAAAGUAACAGACAAGUUGAGGUAGCGCAAGUGUUUCAAGUCACCAAUAGAAUCCGGCAACUCCUCAAUCACAAGGUGAGGUAGAGAUAGUGACCUUAAGCAUUUUAAUUUUGGCACCAAGUCAUGCACCACCUUACUAGUUAGGUAGCAUCUCCCCACAUCACGACCCCGGGAUAACAAUGUCCGCAAAUUCUUCAUUUCAUAGAAGCUUUGAAAUCUUUGUAAAGUGUUCAUAAAAUGAGGAAUAAAUGAAGAAUGUCUAAUCUUUGCAUAUGAUUUUGCAUUAUCCAACUUAUCAACCAUAUGCAAACAUAUUUCUCUGCUAACAAAGCAAGCUAAAUCAAUGAUUAGGUCGUGCAUUAUAUAUUUUGAUUCAUUAUCAUUUGAUUGUUGGAAAAACGAUCUUGAUAAUAAAUCAUCGAAAUAUUUAUGACCCAAACCUUCACUCUCCUUCAUUUUCUUCUGGUCAUACAAGAAACCCUCAGCCAUCCACAGCAAAACCAAUUCAUUCCUAUCAAACUCACGAUCUUUUGGUAGUAUUGCACAAUAAGAGAAACAUUGCUUCAAAUGAGGUGGAAGAUGAAGAUAACUCAACCUUAAGGCUGGAAGAAUAUUGUUGUCGUUGUCUGGUAACUCCCAUAUCUGACUGCUCAAUACUUCCUUCCACAAAUUAGGAUUUGGUUUACCCCUUAAUAUGCCUCCAAGAGCUUUUGCUGCCAAAGGUAAUCCUCCACAUCGUUUGACAAUCCCUUCACCCAUUUCUUUCAGCUUCAAGUGCUUGUCAAAAUUAUUUGCUCCCAAAGCAUGCUGGGCAAACACAGACAUGCUUUCAUGGUGUGACAGCUUGUUAAGAGCAUAUGCUUGAGUAGCACCCACCUUUAAUGAAACAUCCUGACUUCGAGUCGUGACGAUAACUCUGCUUUGAGGAGCCCCUGCUUCAAAAGGACCCCAAAACAGAGUCCAUUGCUCAUAGUUCUGAGUCCAAACAUCAUCUAGGACAACUAAAAACUUCUUCCCAGACAACUUUUGCUUCAAUUUUACCUGAAGCAAAUUUAAAUCAUUAUCAUCACCACCAUCACCCAAUUGAAAAAGAACUGUUUUUGUGACCCUAAAAACAUCAAAACCUUCGCCAACAGAAACCCAGGCUUUCAAAUCAAGCUCCAACGUGGGGUCAUUGUAGACUAGCUGAGCUAGAGUUGUCUUGCCAAGGCCUCCCAUCCCAACUAUGGAAAUCACAGACACCUGGGCAUCACUUGUCUCAGCAUUCAACAAUUUCAACAUCGCCUUCUUAUCUUCCUCCCUACCAUAAACCUUUGCUUCAUUAACCAAAGAGGUCGAGGGUGGUCUUUCUGUCACAUGGCUGACCCUCCUUCUGAUAGACUCUACUAAACGGAGUUCAUCUUUCUGCUUUAUUAUCUCAUCUAAUCGAGCACUAGUUUCCUCUAUUUUGGCAACCAUCUCAGCAUUGAACUUAAUAGCAUUUAGAGUAAGAUUCGCCCCACCACACAUAACAGAGAAAAAUUUGUGCACCUUAUUUGGACGAACAGGUUUGUCUUCCAACUUGCGUCGCCGAAACUCCGUGGCAAGUUCAUCAAUGAUAUCCUCCAGGUCGUAAGCCAAGUCUCUGAGAUCGCUUAACCAGAUCUCCACCAAUCGAUUUGCCGUCUGCUUCUCCUCUGCAUCUUCAAGCACCGCAUAAAUUCUCUUGAGAAUCUUUUCCCACUUCUUGAGUUCAGCCAAGACUUGACCUUGGCCUACAUAUUUCAUCAAGUCAAUGGAAUUCAACCUAUCGAGAAGCCCCUGAAAGCAAACAGAGAGGAUAGAGCCUCCAACAGCAGUGACAAUAUCCAUGGAAAAUAGUGAGUUGUGAGAGAAAAAUUAAACUAUAAAGUUUCGAGUUUGAAGGCAAGAGUUUGCAAAGACAGCUUGUCUGAUGCUCUUUUGCUGCCUUUACCGAAGGGUCUCGGAGCUCUACAGUCAUGGCGUCCCCGCCAAACUAGUGGUCGAUUAUUUAAUAAUCAGAUGAGCUAAUCAAUGAUCAGUUGCUUUAACUUUUGAGGACCUGAGAGGCAACAAUGAAAAAGAAGGCAUAAUAAUGGGUUUUUGGUGAUCUCCCACUUCCACAUUUUUUAAUGCAAAUAUUCCAUCGCACCAUGAUUUUUCGAAAUUAAAAAAAAAAAAAAAGCAAAGUAUAAAGAUGAAAAUCUUAUUAAUUAAUCCAAAAUUAAAAUAAUUAAAUAUAAAUUAAUCAUUCUAUUGAUAAAUUAUAAAAAAAAAUAUUGAGGCAAUCUCAUCAACUAUUAAUUUAUAUUCUAAAUUUAUUAAUUGUUGAUACUAUAUUAUAAUUAUUUAAAAUAAGUUAUAAAUUAUUACCCCAAAAUAAAUUUAUAUGGUAAAAAUUUGAAUAGUAAUACGAUUUCACUGAAGAAAUAAAGAUCCGUACAUCUUUUAACACCUGAAUCUCGACACAAAGAGAUAGAUUGGAGGUAAACAUUCUAUUGAGCACUCUAUACCUCCUCCACAAUCAGACACAGAGAUAGAUUGAAGGGAAGUGAGGCUUUGCAUCUGAUUGGGUAGAGACCUCAAAUUUUUGCACGGAUGAAUUUGAAAAUAGACAAGCUUGGGAUUGGGCAAUCCCAUCUCUGGGAACAACUCUAAUUGAUGACAGCCCCUAUUUCUAACUUUUGGAGACUCUGGAAGUUUUGCAUAUGAUUGGAUAGAGACCUCAAUCCUUGACAAUCGGCGAUUUUUAAAGAGACAAGAGAAGAGAUGG